CCUACGGGUGGCAGCAGUGGAGGAUAUUGCACAAUGGGGGAAACCCUGAUGCAGCGACGCCGCGUGGGCGAAGAAGUAUUUCGGUAUGUAAAGCCCUAGCAGCAGGGAAGCAGAUAUGACGGUACCUGAGUAAGAAGCACCGGCUAAAUACGUGCCAGCAGCCGCGGUAAUACGUAUGGUGCAAGCGUUAUCCGGAUUUACUGGGUGUAAAGGGAGCGCAGGCGGCACGGCAAGCCUGAUGUGAAAGCCCGCGGCCCAACCGCGGGACUGCAGUGGGAACUACCGGGCUGGAGUGCCGGAGAGGUAGGCGGAAUUACUAGUGUAGCGGUGAAAUGCGUAGAUAUUAGGAGGAACACCAGUGGCGAAGGCGGCUUACUGGACGGUGACUGACGCUGAGGCUCGAAAGCGUGGGGAGCAAACAGGAUUAGAUACCCUGGUAGUC
RNAcentral lists this ribosomal RNA (442 nucleotides) under uncultured bacterium. RNAcentral describes it as "partial 16S ribosomal RNA". It matches the Rfam family "Bacterial small subunit ribosomal RNA", at positions 338 to 795 of the family's 1533-position model. The record is from RNAcentral.